RNAcentral lists this transfer RNA (72 nucleotides) under Amusium pleuronectes. RNAcentral's name for it is "tRNA-Met". Lineage: Eukaryota; Metazoa; Mollusca; Bivalvia; Pectinida; Pectinidae. The record is from RNAcentral.
GGCAAGGUAGUAUACGUGUAGUACGUUGGGUUCAUGCCCCGUUAGUGGGAAGAAAUUUUCUCCCCCUUGCUU